AAUGCGACCUCAGCUCAGGCGGGG
RNAcentral lists this ribosomal RNA (24 nucleotides) under Daniellia pilosa. Its description in RNAcentral is "partial 26S ribosomal RNA". Lineage: Eukaryota; Viridiplantae; Streptophyta; Magnoliopsida; Fabales; Fabaceae. The record is from RNAcentral.